CCUACGGGUGGCAGCAGUGAGGAAUAUUGGUCAAUGGGCGCGAGGCUGAACCAGCCAAGUCGCGUGAGGGAUGAAGGUUCUAUGGAUUGUAAACCUCUUUUAUCAGGGGAUAAAGUGUGGGACGUGUCCUAUUUUGUAUGUACCUUAUGAAUAAGGAUCGGCUAACUCCGUGCCAGCACCCGGGGUAAUCCGGGGGAUCCGAGCGUUAUCCGGAUUUAUUGGGUUUAAGGGGUGCGUAGGCGGCCUUUUAAGUCAGCGGGUAAAGUCCGUGGCUCAACCAUAGAAUGGCCGUUGAAACUGGGGGGCUUGAGUAUGUUUGAGGCAGGCGGAAUGCGUGGUGUAGCGGUGAAAUGCUUAGAUAUCACGCAGAACCCCGAUUGCGAAGGCAGCCUGCCAAGCCAUGACUGACGCUGAUGCACGAAAGCGUGGGGAUCAAACAGGAUUAGAUACCCUUGUAGUC
RNAcentral lists this ribosomal RNA (460 nucleotides) under uncultured bacterium. RNAcentral's name for it is "partial 16S ribosomal RNA". It matches the Rfam family "Bacterial small subunit ribosomal RNA", at positions 338 to 795 of the family's 1533-position model. The record is from RNAcentral.